Sapajus apella (tufted capuchin) is the source of this 266-nucleotide long non-coding RNA. RefSeq lists it as uncharacterized. The transcript is spliced from 4 exons. Lineage: Eukaryota; Metazoa; Chordata; Mammalia; Primates; Cebidae. The record is from RefSeq and is a predicted model, not a curated record.
CAAUCCUCCCACCACAGCCUCCAGAGUAGCUAGAACUACAGAAUCUCCCAGUUCUGGAUCAUAGCAUUUACUCCUGAGGUAUGGCCAAUCUUAAGUUUCAAGGAAGGCAUCUGAAGUUUCAAGUAUCAAAGUUCUUUACCUUGUUGGGACACAAUUCAUUCUGCUCUAUGGGAGAAGCAAGCUACCAUGUCAUGAAGACACUCAAGCUGACCUAUGGAGAGGUCUAUGUGUUAAGAAACUGCAGAGUGCCACCAACAGCCAUGUGA